Molecule: ribosomal RNA, 320 nt
Filed under: uncultured eukaryote
Lineage: Eukaryota
Description: partial 18S ribosomal RNA
Rfam family: Eukaryotic small subunit ribosomal RNA
Source: RNAcentral
CCCCUAGAUGUUCUGGGCCGCACGCGCGCUACACUGAACAGUUCAACAAGUCUUAACCUUGGCCGAUAGGUCUGGGUAAUCUUUGAACGCUGUUCGUGAUUGGGAUAGACCUUUGCAAUUAUGGGUCUUCAACGAGGAAUUCCUAGUAAACGCAAGUCAUCAGCUUGCAUUGAUUACGUCCCUGCCCUUUGUACACACCGCCCGUCGCACCUACCGAUUGUAUGGUCCGGUGAAAUCUCGGGACGGCGGCUUGGUCGCUUGCGUCCGACUGCUGAAACUUGAUUAAACCAUAUCAUUUAGAGGAAGGUGAANUCGUAACA